Molecule: long non-coding RNA, 1769 nt
Organism: Armigeres subalbatus
Lineage: Eukaryota; Metazoa; Arthropoda; Insecta; Diptera; Culicidae
Exons: 3
Source: RefSeq, a predicted model, not a curated record
AAAUCAAUUUGAUAAUUUGCCAAAUAUGUUGAACCAGCCUAGAGCACAAAUUCAAAAUUCACUACAUUAGCGUUCAUUCUGUUCAUGAGCGGCACUCUCAAGAAGCGCAAAACAAAAUUAAUUGUGUGAGUUCCUACUGACGUUGUGAGCGGCCGUGGGAAUUGAUUGCCCAUAAAAAUGGAUCAAAUCUGCCGGGUGGCUUGUAGCACAUGCUAUCGCCCGCGUGCAUCGACCCGUUGAGAAUCCUUUCAGGUUGCAAUGACCUUUGGCGUUUUCUUUCCACCCAAGAUUUUGGGGCCGAACAGCGAGAUGGAUGAUUGAAGCUGUUCGUGGAAAGAGAUGCAAACAUGCGCGAAUAUGAUUAUUUAGAGCGCGAGAGUAAUUUUCGGAAUCACGAAAUUAACUUCGUGAUGUCCGGUGAUGCAAUUUACAAUUUGGCGGUUAAUCUGAGGAUUCCCAAGUUGAUCAAGUUCACUUCGAACUGAUCCGUGGAAGAGGCAGGAGUGGCCCAAAGUUCUCGCGCCGUGGUGUCUUUUCAAAGUUUGUAGAAUCGUGUGUGCUAUUGUGAAAAGGCGGUGUGUUAUCGUGUGUGGCUUCGUGCAAUUAAAGGUUUCUUGCCAAGCCGUUAAUCCGUCCGUGGCACCACAAUCGAACUCCCAGUGGCCAUUUCUGACCCCACCAUCAGGCUCAGAAGUUCUCCCGGGGCACGCCGGAAGAGGGACGCUUCCGUUUUUCUACGCUCCCUAGGCAGGACGAAUCAGCAAGCGCAAUCGCAUUUCCGUUCCCCUAGUGACGACUAGGGAAACCUCGACGCACGUGUCGCGUCGCGCGCAAAGAAAGUUAUUCCGAUGUUCGAGUGAACCGACCGCCAACCAGCAGCAGAAAGGCAAUCCGCCUACCCCCGGCGGCAACCAAACUCCUUCGCCGAACGAGAGAGCAGCAGCGAAUUCACCGCCACCCCCUUUCCGUUCAUCCGGCGGCGGCAACAUCGUCACCGAAGAAGGUCUGUGAGUACCCACCCAUUUAACAUUCAUGCGCAUGACAAGUUAAUUCACGCCGCAACAUAGUUUCCGUUGCGUGGCGUGCACGGCCGUUUUUGUAAGACCGUGAAGCAAAUUCCGUGAAUCGAAAACCCAUUGCGUUCGCCGAGGCGAACGAGAGAUUCAAUAGCACGUUGUUCGUUAUGCACACCUAGCCAAAGCACACACACGAUAGGUAGACAGGGACCAUAGCAUGGGAAAGGUUGAGAGAGAGCAAGAGUAGAGUAGCAAGAGAAGAGAAACGAGAAAUGAACACUGAUGUAGAAAGAUAGAUGUAAGAAAUAAAGCUCAAUGUGACUGGAUAAAAGCUCAUUUGUUCCGUGCGUAUACAGAAACAUUUCAGUCGUAGAGUAUGAGAAAUGAGGAAGCGGACAGUUAGAUUCCUGCAAUAAAUGUUGGUCCCAAUUAAGUGAAAUGAGUUGAGUGUUUUUCAUGUCACACGUGUCCCGUUUGUAGUUUUUUGUUGUAGAAAUUGUUUUACUGGGGAGGUUGGCUCCGAAACCAACCGGGCAACUUUUUAGUCGGACACGGGUCGGUUCGAUUGGGAAUUUCGGGAUACUUGCCGGUGAUGAUAAAACCCCCUUUAUAUAAUUCAUCACUGGCCGUUAAUUGCAAUCGUGUUCUAAGUAAUUGUAUUCACAAAACGCAUUAGUAGCGUUUCUUUUUGCGGACAGUUUCAGUCAGCCAUCUAACUUCCCGGACCAAAUUUAAAAACUGAGCCUUCUUCCC